Molecule: long non-coding RNA, 586 nt
Organism: Pezoporus flaviventris
Lineage: Eukaryota; Metazoa; Chordata; Aves; Psittaciformes; Psittacidae
Exons: 4
Source: RefSeq, a predicted model, not a curated record
CAGGCGUCCAAGUUCCAAAUGCAGAAGGGGAAGAAGAGGAUGUAGAAAAGCUCGUUGCCGAGCUCCGUGCCCAGGCUGAAGAGAUAGUAGAGGAAGCGACUACGGGUGGAGAACUCCUGGCUGCCGUCCUCCUCCGUGUAUUGAGAACAUUCACAACACCACCAAGAGCCUCCUUCAUUCAAUCUGCUGAAAAUGCCAAUGAGCCACCUCCCUCAGUCUUCCAUCUUUGAGAUAUUAAGUGCUCCCAGUCCUGGGAAGGUUCUUCAGAAAAGGCCAGGUGUGCUCAACACACAUGAUGAUACUCAGAAUACCUUGCUUGCCUUACUGCUGCACCCUUUUCAAGAUUUCCAGAAGUGUGGCAGCCAGAAUCUCAGUGGACAAUCUCCGUGACCACUUCCUGCAUGUCAAGACAUCCUGCAUGACUGUAGAACCUGCAUGCUGUGCUGCACAUGUUUCUGAAUCCAGACCUGGCAUUUGACACCUAUGCCCUGCUUUUCCAGCUUCUGCUAUGGUCACCUGAAUAGUGUUUCUUGGCAGGCUCCUCUCACCCAGCUUCUGAAAAAUAGAGCCAAAACUGAGAUGCUAA